RNAcentral lists this long non-coding RNA (2029 nucleotides) under Nicotiana benthamiana. RNAcentral describes it as "long non-coding RNA (NBEN_LNC017964)". The record is from RNAcentral. Lineage: Eukaryota; Viridiplantae; Streptophyta; Magnoliopsida; Solanales; Solanaceae.
UCAUUCAUUCUCUUCUUCCUUCCUCUGCUUCCUUUCUAUGUUACUUUCUUAAUGGCUAUGCCUCUCUUAACAUGGCUUCAGAGCUCAGCUUAAUUCCGACGAGUUCAACAAUGGCAGGCGAGUAAGGAGAAGAUAUAAUUGAGCUAGCUGAAUCCAGGAUUGUUUUCUAUUUUCUCAUCUGGUUCAAGUUGCAGGUGAAGAAAUGAUCUUCUCUUCCAGUUAGGGUUUUGUGAUUUCUGAACGAUUCACCAAUUUCUUCUGAAUUUCACAACGAUUUGAGUAAGUAAUUCUCUUCAAUCUCCAAGUCUAAAAAUUUAAUAUGGCGAUUAAUGAAAAUGAGUCGACUUUGACUACUAUUACAUCAUUUACAUCUGAUAAUCAGAAUAUUGACUUAGUUCAUCACAAUCAUCCUUUGUAUAUUCAUCCUUCUGAUACUCAAGAUGAUGUUCUCAUCUUGAUUCAGCUUCGAGGAUCUGAAAACUACUCUCUUUGGAGUAAAUCUAUGAAAAUUGUAUUGCAUGGCAAAAACAAGUUAGGUUUUGUACUAGGAAUCUGUAGAAAGGAGCUUUACGAUCCAUGUCUUCAUGAGCUUUGAGAUCGAUGUAAUGCAAUUGUUUUAGCAUGGAUAAUGAACAGUGUAGCAUCUAAUCUACUAAGCAUUUUGAUAUAUGAAUCUAAUGCCUACAAGGUUUGGGAAGACCUUCGUGAAAGAUAUAAUAAGGUAAAUGUUGCUAGAUCGUUUUAUCUUCACAAGGAAAUUGCGAAAUUGACUCAAAAUCUGCUAAUAGUGUUAGAGUAUUUCUCAAAACUUAGAGAGUUAUGGGAUGAGUAUGAAGCUUUAGCUCCUCCUCCUUCAUGUGGAUUCCCUGAAUCCAAGCAACAUGUAGAACAUUACCAACUACAAAAACUGUAUUAGUUUUUGACAUGUUUAAAUGAUUUAUUUGACCAUGCUAAAGAACAAAUUCUUAUGAUUCGGCCACUUCCUAAUAUCAACCAGGUAUAUGCUAUGGUAGUUAAUGUUGAGAGUCAAAGGAAAAACAGGCAGCUCUAAGUGUUGGCAUUGAUAAUUCUACAUCACUGAUGAAUAAAGUUAAUGUAGGAAAUGAAAAUAGCAAUUUCAUAUCUAGAAACAAUCUUGGGAGAUCUCCACUACAACGUGACUACUGUCACUUGAAAGGUCAUACCAAGGACACAUGCUAUAAACUUUAUGGAUACCCUACUGACUUCAAGGCCAAGAGAAGAGGCUAUUCAGGCCCUCAUGUGACCAAUGCAUUUACUGCCAGAGGAUUUCAAUCUCCUGACCUUCCUCAGCCUAUUCCACAACUAUCUUCACAACCUACUCCUCAGUUUUCUCCUGCUCCAAUGUUUACUCAAGAACAAUAUGACAGAUAUUGCAUAUGCUGAACAAAGGAAAACAAGUAGAAUCAAUGGCUAAUACAGUAAUUAUGAAUAACACAGUUAAUAUAGGAUCCUUCAUUUCUCAUCUAGUUAAUGGUAACUGGAUAGUAGAUACAGGGGCUUCCAACAUAUGGUGCACAAUUCCAAGCUACUAAGUGAAACCAAAGAUCUGACCAGUAUAGAUCAUAACACGGUUCAUUUUCCUAAUGGUAAGCAGAUUGCUAUCAGUCACUCAGGAGUGUCCACAAUCUUCAAAACUAAAUCAUUACAGAAUGUAUUGUAUAUUCCAGACUUCAAAUAAAUCUUGCUUUCAGUCUCAAAGCUUACAAAGGAGUUAAGAUGUCUUGUUGAUUUCUUUCUUGAUAUAUGCCUUUUUCAGGAUCUCUUGAGUGGGAAGGUAAUGAGGAUUGGUAAGGAAGAAUGUAGACUUUACAUCCUAAAGCCAUAUACUCUUGAUGGACCAGUACAGUAGUUGAAUGCAAAGCACAGUAACAAGCUAGCAUCUUCUGCAAAUAAUAUCUCUAGUUCCAAUAAGGCAUUUUCUUUUCAGUCUACUAAGAAUUUAAAGUGUGUCUCUAUGGCACAAGAGAUUGAGACAUGCUCAUCUAAAAGUUCUACAGAGAAUUAGUAG